RNAcentral lists this ribosomal RNA (253 nucleotides) under uncultured bacterium. Its description in RNAcentral is "partial 16S ribosomal RNA". It matches the Rfam family "Bacterial small subunit ribosomal RNA", at positions 524 to 776 of the family's 1533-position model. The record is from RNAcentral.
UACGGAGGGUGCAAGCGUUAUCCGGAAUUACUGGGUUUAAAGGGUGCGUAGGCGGCUUGAUAAGUCAGAGGUGAAAGCCUAUCGCUUAACGAUAGAAUUGCCUUUGAUACUGUAAAGCUUGAAAGGGGUUGAGGUCAGCAGAAUGUGGCAUGUAGCGGUGAAAUGCAUAGAUAUGCCAUAGAACACCGAUUGCGAAGGUAGUUGGCUGGGCCUUCUUUGACUCUCCGGCACGAUAGCGUGGGGAGCGAACAGG